UUCUGAGCCGAGGCCAG
This 17-nucleotide microRNA is filed under the name Corchorus olitorius. Its description in RNAcentral is "hsa-miR-43". Lineage: Eukaryota; Viridiplantae; Streptophyta; Magnoliopsida; Malvales; Malvaceae. The record is from RNAcentral.